UUCCGGUUGAUCCUGCCGGACCCCACUGCUAUCGAGGUGGGACUAAGCCAUGCUAGUUGAGCGCACAGAACUAUGUCUGUGAGCGGCACACUGCUCAGUAACACGUAGCUAACCUACCCUUAGGACGUGGACAACCCCGAGAAAUUGGGGCUAAUCCGCGAUAGAUGUAUUGUCCUGGAAUGGUAUUACGUCUAAAGGUAUCCCAUACAUGUUUGGUAUAUGCCUAAGGAUGGGGCUGCGGCCGAUCAGGCUGUUGGUGAGGUAAUGGCUCACCAAACCUUUGACCGGUACGGGCCAUGAGAGUGGUAGCCCGGAGAUGGACACUGAGACAAGGGUCCAGGCCCUACGGGGCGCAGCAGGCGCGAAACCUCCUCAAUGCACUUACGUGCGAAGGGGCUACCUCGAGUGCCACCUGAUGAAGGUGGCUUUUCCUAGGUCUAAAAAGCCUUGGGAAUAAGAGGGGGGCAAGACUGGUGUCAGCCGCCGCGGUAACACCAGCCCCUCGAGUGGUGGGGAUGAUUAUUGGGCCUAAAGCGUCCGUAGCUUGCCGUAUAAGUUUCCCGUUAAAUCCAGUGUCUCAAGCGUUGGACCGCGGGAAAUACUGUACGGCUAGAGAGUGGGAGAGGUCAGCGGUAUUCUGGGGGUAGGGGCGAAAUCCUUUGAUCCCCGGAGGACCACCAGUGGCGAAGGCUGCUGUCUAGAACACGUCUGACGGUCAGGGACGAAAGCUGGGGUAGCGAACCGGAUUAG
Molecule: ribosomal RNA, 750 nt
Filed under: uncultured archaeon
Lineage: Archaea
Description: bacterial SSU rRNA
Rfam family: Archaeal small subunit ribosomal RNA
Source: RNAcentral